CCAUUUGCCUCUUAAUUAGAGGCUAGUAUGAAUGGUUGAACGAAAUACAAACUGUCUCACUUUAAAAAUUUUAAAAAUUUAGCUUCCUAGUCAAAAGGCUUGGAUAAGGUUAGAGGACGAGAAGACCCUAUAGAACUUUAUAAUAUUAUUUAUGAAUUUAAAUAGUAAAAAAAUUUUUUUUUCAUAAUUUAUUUUAUUUUGUUGGGGUGACAGGAAAAUAAAUUUAACUUUUCUGAAUUUUAUACAUUGAUUUAUGAUUAUUUGAUCCAUUAAUAGUGAUUAUUAGAAUAAGUUACCUUAGGGAUAACAGCGUAAUUUUAUUGGAGAGUUCAAAUCGAUAAUAAAGUUUGCGACCUCG
Molecule: ribosomal RNA, 358 nt
Filed under: Myrmeleon obscurus
Lineage: Eukaryota; Metazoa; Arthropoda; Insecta; Neuroptera; Myrmeleontidae
Description: partial 16S ribosomal RNA
Rfam family: Bacterial large subunit ribosomal RNA
Source: RNAcentral